Long non-coding RNA from Acinonyx jubatus (cheetah), 1321 nucleotides. RefSeq lists it as uncharacterized. The record is from RefSeq and is a predicted model, not a curated record. NCBI's taxonomy places the organism in Eukaryota, Metazoa, Chordata, Mammalia, Carnivora, Felidae. The transcript has 3 exons.
CCAGUUCUGCCAAUAACUUCAACUGGUUCAUUCGCUGAUUCAUUUGAAAGACAACCACUGAUGGCUAUCAUGUGCCUGGUGAUGUUCGAGGCAGUAGGGAAAUAGGGCAGCAUAAGAUUAAAUGUCUGUUCUCGAGCAGGGGUGGGGGUGCGAACAGAAGAGAAACAAUGGGAAAAGUCACGCGUUCAUCUUCAUCAUCGUCACGGUCACCGUCAUCCUCACGAUCAGCACUGUUUCCCAGGCUGCUGCGGGAGGGCAACACAGGAUGUCGGAGCCAGGACUGAAGGCUCAGCAGCGGAGGUGACACCCGAGACUUAAAGAAGGGACUGUGCUUUCCCUUCCUGGUGGCGGGGAAGUCAUCCAAAGCAGACUGAACGCAUGGGCAAGGCAGGGAGGUAAGGCGACACAGAGCACAGCACCAGGGCCCUGUAAACAAUCUGGAAGGCCGGACUAUGGAGUCCAGGAGAGGUGUGGCUGGAAGGGGCCGCACAGCAACCCCCUCCCCACCCCCGCCCCCUUCUCACGCCACCCUUCUGCUACCAGCUCUUUAAGCCCUUUCUUGUUUGCCCCGCCCCCACUUCCUGUUUCCUGUCUGGGUGCCAAUCAACGACCACGCUCCCCAGGAGGCGUGAGCAUGUGACCCACGUGGCUACCGUGAUUGGUGCAGGGGUAGGCACAUGGUUCAAGCCAGGCCAAUCAGAGCCCUUCUCUGGGGUUUAUGCCUGGAUGCUGGGAGGGGAAGGGUUCUGUUUCCUACGGGCCGCUGAAAACCUGGUGCUGCCUUUGGCCGUGGCCUCUCCAUCUGUCUGGCCAUUUGGAAGAAAGGAUGAGCGUGGGCUUCUGACCUUGUGUGAUGGGCACAGACCGGGGUCUCCUACUCAGAAGUCUAAGUAUUGCCGCUGCUGACAGGCCGGAGGGCCAGCGCGGCCUCCCCUUGCGCUCACGUGCACCCCGCGCCAUCUGUCUUCGGGUCUCCCAGGAGGCAACGGAGGACCUUUGCGUCACUGCCCUGCCUCGUGCUGUGCCCCCUCCCACCACCACUAAUAGACUGAAACAAUUAGGUGGAAAGAAGAGACUUAUGGCCGUCGUUUGGUGCCUUACUGGUCCCUUGUCCAGAUGCAGGCUGCACGGGACUGCAUGGGCUUCCCGACGUCCUUGCACAAGGCAGAUCUUUCCCAAGACCCAAGGCGGCUCCUGGCUCCCGCUGGUGCACCCAACCCUGUCCUUCCUGGUUCACUCCUACAGAACUCACUGCUCCCAGGGGAGGCCUCCCUCCACACUGAGCUCCUCUCCCCCUGCCCCGGACUCCUUGGGGUUCUCG